AUUUUGCUUUGGACAGUAUCAUUCCUCGCUGUCUUGAACACGCCGCAACUUUUGACAACAUAAUGGACUUCACUCGCCUCAUGGCCCUCAACUCUCUCUUCUCCAUAUGUUACAACAAACGAUCUCUCAUACAAUCAGUCACACCCAGACUUCCCCAUGCUCUCUGAUCAGACCGAGGCUUACAUUCCACACUACCUUAUAUUCUGUUUGAUCUGGUGCUUCUCUGGAGAUGAGAAGAUGGUCUAUCGGGAAAAGAUGGUUGACUUUAUAUGAGGGAUGACUACAAUACCCCUACCACCUGGUACAGCAUCCAUCAUUGAUUUUGAAGUUAAUAUUCAAGGAGAGUGGGUACUGUGGUCUAACAGAGUACCCAAGAUUGAGGUUGAGACUCAUAAAGUAGGAUCUCCUCAUGUACCAAUUCUUCAUACACUGAGACAUGAGAGUCUCCUUUAUACAUGGUUGGCGGAGCAUAAGCCAGUGGUACGUACUGUGAGCCUAUGUGGUCCACCAGGUUCUAGUAAAACCAUUGUACUGUUCUCUGCAUGCUCUUUGUGCACUACCUGCUUUUGAAGUACACAGAGAGCAAUAUCGUUCUUCUUACCUCAGAUUGUGUAGCACGGUGGAUUUUACAGGACCUCAGAUCAUCUGUGGGUGACAAUAGAGAGGAUACAGUUUGUUGGAGCUUGUAACCGACUGACUGACCCAGGGAGGAAGACAUGCACUGUC
This 726-nucleotide long non-coding RNA is filed under the name Amphimedon queenslandica. Its description in RNAcentral is "uncharacterized LOC109584534". The record is from RNAcentral. Lineage: Eukaryota; Metazoa; Porifera; Demospongiae; Haplosclerida; Niphatidae.